This 424-nucleotide ribosomal RNA is filed under the name Klebsiella pneumoniae. RNAcentral describes it as "bacterial LSU rRNA". It matches the Rfam family "Bacterial large subunit ribosomal RNA", at positions 621 to 1047 of the family's 2925-position model. The record is from RNAcentral. Lineage: Bacteria; Pseudomonadati; Pseudomonadota; Gammaproteobacteria; Enterobacterales; Enterobacteriaceae.
CAGCGACUUAUAUUCUGUAGCAAGGUUAACCGUAUAGGGGAGCCGCAGGGAAACCGAGUCUUAACUGGGCGUUAAGUUGCAGGGUAUAGACCCGAAACCCGGUGAUCUAGCCAUGGGCAGGUUGAAGGUUGGGUAACACUAACUGGAGGACCGAACCGACUAAUGUUGAAAAAUUAGCGGAUGACUUGUGGCUGGGGGUGAAAGGCCAAUCAAACCGGGAGAUAGCUGGUUCUCCCCGAAAGCUAUUUAGGUAGCGCCUCGUGAAUUCAUCUUCGGGGGUAGAGCACUGUUUCGGCUAGGGGGUCAUCCCGACUUACCAACCGAUGCAACUACGAAUACCGAAGAAUGUUAUCACGGGAGACACACGGCGGGUGCUAACGUCCGUCGUGAAGAGGGAAACAACCCAGACCGCCAGCUAAGGUCC